CAGACAUUCCUCUGAACACUAAGGUAACCCCUUAUGCUGGGGAAAUUCCACAGUGACAGAAACUGAUACUAUCCCCUACAAAUAUGGAAGCACGUGAGACUAUUUCACAAGAACCAGUUCAGCGGUCAGCCAAGCAGAACUCUGGAGCUACCAGGAAGAAUCAAGAAGGAGAAAAUGACCAUAAUUGAUGAUAUUCUGCCACAAGAUACUUAUCUCCUUCCUCUUCCACCUGAGGCACAGCCAUCAGCAGUGACUUGGCCCCAAAAAGCUCCAUCACCUUCCUGUGACCAGGAGGCCUGCCUGCCCCAAGGAAAAUCCCCAGUCCACCUGAAGCACAGACAGCAAAUGUAAGCUGACCUCUGUCUCCGAAGCUCCACCAACAGGCCUAGAACUCUACCUCUCUUCCCCAGGAGGUCUGCAGGACCACCCAGGGAACAGCUAACUGAGGGAGGAUGUCAUCGCUGGAUUCGGAGGCUAACUGUAAACCGAUUCUGAUGCUAACAGAUGGGAACAAAUUUACAGACUCACUGCCAUGUAUUAUACAGAGAGAGAGAGAGAGUGAAACUUUGGAACAAAAAGCUCCAAAUGGGAUGUUUCCAUUACAUUCCAUCCAACAUAGCUCAGGAAAUGCCUUGGAAGGAGAGGUAGAAAAAGUUUAAGAGAGGAGAUGGAGGCUCUCUAGAUCAACUGAACAAAGCUUGUAUGAAUUUACAGAGACUGAAGCAUCAAGCACAGGGUUGCCACAGGUCCUCACAAGUUCCUCUGCAUAUUACAGCUUUCAGUUUGGAGUUUUCUGGGACUCGAGAGUUGGUGAACAAACAGAAAUGCUCCUGAGAACUUCCUGUGGUAUCCUGGCUGUUUUGCGCCACUUCUGCAGACACAUGCCUAUUGAGUGGAGCCCAUCAGUUUCUUCUGGACCAACCUGCUGCUACUGACACAGUUUUCAUGUUUACACAUUGGACUGGACCUCUGCUGACUUGUAUUUGAUGUUUUGGAGCAGACUGCUAACAUCCUGACAACAAAGAUUGGAAUUGCCCCAAAGAACUGCAUACAAACAUGUUCCCAUCCCAUUUCCUUUCUUUUUCUCUGUCUCUCAUAGGUGAGCUAGAAGAGAGGUUGAAGCACUUUAGAACCCUUGAUAAAGUAGGUUUUGAGAAACCUAAGCCUACACUGUCAUAAACAAAAUAACAAAAGACCCCUCAGUUUUCACGUUCUACUACAGUCCCUUUUGCAAAUCAUAUCAAACCAUUACCAUUAAAUAUAGUUGUAUGUUUAUUAAAAGUAGUCUUU
Mus pahari (shrew mouse) is the source of this 1290-nucleotide long non-coding RNA. RefSeq lists it as uncharacterized. The transcript has 5 exons. Lineage: Eukaryota; Metazoa; Chordata; Mammalia; Rodentia; Muridae. The record is from RefSeq and is a predicted model, not a curated record.